CCUACGGGAGGCAGCAGUGGGGAAUAUUGGACAAUGGGCGAAAGCCUGAUCCAGCCAUGCCGCGUGUGUGAAGAAGGCCUUCGGGUUGUAAAGCACUUUCAGUGGGGAAGAAAGCCUUGGGGCUAAUACCCUCGAGGAAGGACAUCACCCACAGAAGAAGCACCGGCUAACUCCGUGCCAGCAGCCGCGGUAAUACGGAGGGUGCGAGCGUUAAUCGGAAUUACUGGGCGUAAAGCGCGCGUAGGCGGUCUGAUAAGCCGGUUGUGAAAGCCCCGGGCUCAACCUGGGAACGGCAUCCGGAACUGUCAGGCUAGAGUGCAGGAGAGGAAGGUAGAAUUCCCGGUGUAGCGGUGAAAUGCGUAGAGAUCGGGAGGAAUACCAGUGGCGAAGGCGGCCUUCUGGACUGACACUGACGCUGAGGUGCGAAAGCGUGGGUAGCAAACAGGAUUAGAUCCCCGGGUAGUC
Molecule: ribosomal RNA, 465 nt
Filed under: Vreelandella stevensii
Lineage: Bacteria; Pseudomonadati; Pseudomonadota; Gammaproteobacteria; Oceanospirillales; Halomonadaceae
Description: partial 16S ribosomal RNA
Rfam family: Bacterial small subunit ribosomal RNA
Source: RNAcentral